Molecule: ribosomal RNA, 404 nt
Filed under: uncultured bacterium
Lineage: Bacteria
Description: bacterial SSU rRNA
Rfam family: Bacterial small subunit ribosomal RNA
Source: RNAcentral
UAGGGAAUAUUGGACAAUGGGCGAGAGCCUGAUCCAGCAGCGCCGCGUGUGCGAUGACGGCCUUCGGGUUGUAAAGCACUUUUAGAGGAGAUGAGAAAGGACAGUAUCCUCUGAAUAAGCCUCGGCGAACUACGUGCCGGCAGCCGCGGUAAAACGUAGGAGGCUAGCGUUAUCCGGAUUUAUUGGGCGUAAAGCGCGUGCAGGCGGUUUAUCAAGUUGGAUGUGAAAGCUCCUGGCUUAACUGGGAGAGGUCGUUCAAAACUGAUAGACUAGAGAAUGGUAGAGGGAGGUGGAAUUCCGGGUGUAGUGGUGAAAUGCGUAGAUAUCCGGAGGAACACCAGUGGCGAAAGCUGCCUCCUGGGCCAUUUCUGACGCUAAGACGCGAAAGCUAGGGUAGCAAACGG